Molecule: long non-coding RNA, 708 nt
Filed under: Citrus maxima (pomelo)
Lineage: Eukaryota; Viridiplantae; Streptophyta; Magnoliopsida; Sapindales; Rutaceae
Description: long non-coding RNA (CMAX_LNC001239)
Source: RNAcentral
UCUCUUUACCUUCAUCUCUUUCCCUUCAUCUCUUAGCAAUUCAGGGUUGAUUUCACAGUUUAUCAAUGUCACUCAACCAGCAGCAGUCACCACCAAAGUAAACCAUGUUGUAAACCAUGUAUGCUUUUUCAUUUCGAAAGAUAUGUUGUAAACCAUGUAUGCUUUUAGCUUUUUCCAUCAAGACGAAUUCAAAGAGUCCAUUAGUGCUAGGCUGUUAGCUUUUUUAUUUUUUGCUCAUAUUCUUCAAUUAUGUCAUUGUUAAAAAUUAAAAAUAAAUAAAUAAAUAAAUAUAUAAAAUAUUAGUGCAAGCUUUAUAUAUAUAUAUAUAUAUAUAUAUAUAUAUAUAUAUAUAUAUAAAUGAUCUUUUAUUCUUCAAUUAAUUUGAAUUAUUUCGUUUAUAUAUGUUAAUAACAUUUUAUUUACAUAAAAAAGCUUGGACUAAUAUUAUAUAUAUAUAAAUGAUCUUUUAUUCUUCAAUUAAUUUGAAUUAUUUCGUUUAUAUAUGUUAAUAACAUUUUAUUUACUUUUUGGUGUAGGAUUUUUGUUUUCAAGGUGAAAAAGACAAAUGAAGAGAAUUAAAGAAAUUACCUUACUUUAUAAUUUGAAUUUGAAUUAUUGUUAUUUGUAUUAUUAGGGAUUAUAAUUUGGUAUUUGGAUGGCUGCAUAAUAUGGUUUGAGUUAUUUGUAUUUUGUUCUGGGAUGCUAAAU